This is a long non-coding RNA of Lycium barbarum (goji berry), 5584 nucleotides long. RefSeq lists it as uncharacterized. The transcript has 2 exons. The record is from RefSeq and is a predicted model, not a curated record. NCBI's taxonomy places the organism in Eukaryota, Viridiplantae, Streptophyta, Magnoliopsida, Solanales, Solanaceae.
AUGAUUUGCUUCUUUCUGGGCUAUAAUCUACUUCACCGCGUUGAGAAAAUACGCCCCGUAUCUUGGCAGGGCGACUCGGUAUGGCAUCCAUUUGCGAACCGGUGUCUGCAGCCAUGGCGAUGUUGCUUUCUCUUUGCUUGUUUGUAGAACAGCAAAAUCUGAGCCCUAAAGUGGGCAUAUAUGAUUAGAAAUGCUAUUGGAAGGGACUGAACCUCCGACCUUGUGGUUAAUAACCACGCGCUCUAACCAACUGAGAAAUGAUAAAUAAAUAAAUCUAUGACGGGGCUAUAUGAUGAAAUUCUUCUUAGAAAAUGCAAUGAAGCUUUCAGAUAAUUUGAGCCGUAGCAUGGAAAAGCGACCUGUUAGCGUCUAUUGUAACAUGCUAAAGGUUUGCAGCCAUCACGGUGCUGAAUCCGUGAUGCCAAUGAUUUCUUUGUUGCUCUGAUCAAUAGCUCCUUUUUGUAGGUUUUUGCUGUCUACAGUGGAUGGAAUUUCAACCCAGAAUAAAGAAUGAGGUCAACAGGGAGGGUGGUUGCCCUCUCUGCUAGGCCUAUGAUUUCUCCAUCUACCAACCAACAACCCUCUUCAGAAAAAAACAGGCAAGUAUGUUUGGUGAUUCUGAUAGUCGAGAUACUAUCUUUUUGAGCUUAAGCCUUGAGGCAAUGUUUUUGGUCCAAAACAUCCCCAGAUCUGAAGGUUGCGUUUGUUUGAUGAGAAUUUUUUAACAUGUCCAAAUGGCUCCUAGAACUAUGGAAAAGUUGCCAUUUCUCUAAAGAGGUAAUGAUGAUACUGCUAAUCCCUGCUGAAGUUCAGGGCAUGGAGACAGUCCGACCCGUAUCUUGGCAGGGCAAACCUGGAUGGCUUGGGAUUGAGGCCUUCUCUUUCACAUGCAACCGGCUGCUUGCAGCCAUGGCGUGUUGUUGUCUACUCUUUGCCCCAUUUUACGCAGAUCUGAGCCUCAAUAUCCAACUAGUACAUCUGGAUUUUUUGGGUCUCGAACCCAGAAUCUCUCGUUUGGUGAAAAACAUUUGGGUUAUUCAAUUUUUCUUGAACACCUUCUUGCUGUUCUCCAUCAAACUAGCUCAAAGAAUUGAGGCAAUUGGAGAAAAAAAAAAGGGAUCUUUUAGGGUGGUUGACCAUCUCCAACAUUCCUAUGAUUUCUCUCCUCUUUAAGUUCUCACAAACAGCUCUUUUUGUUUGUGUGUCUUUUUAUUCUCAUUAAGGACCAUUUUGAUAUUUUCUUUUGAUAUGGUGUACAAUUAUCGUACAACUGCGGAGACCCAAAGUACCGCAUUGAGUGCAGAUUUUCAUCACCGCAAACUCAAAGGGAAUGCACCAGCGGGGAAUCGAAAUAGGUCUGUUCUGCGGCAGGGUACUAUCUACCACUAGACCACUGGGUAAAUGCCAGCAGGAUGUUUAUCAUUUUUCUCCAGGAACCACAUUUCAGCGCUAGAGUUUCAUUGCGUGUUGCGUGAUCAAUCAAUCAUAAGGAUCUUAUAGUCAUCACUAGUUGAGUCAUACCCCAAUCAGCAAGUACAAAAUUCCUUCGCUGAAAAUUUUGGAUGGGGAAGAACUGUUGAUUCUCUUGUGGAGGGGUUCCAUAGCAAAAGUAUGUUGUGCUUAUUAAGCCCGGAAAGGAAGAAUGAGUCGUCAGAGAGAUGGGAUUUAAAGGUGGUUGCCCCUCUCUGCUAUGUCCAUGAUUUCUCCAUUCGUAAAACCAACAACCCUUUGAGAAAAAAAAAAAAAAAAAGGUACAUGAUAAACCAUCUAAUAACACACCCCUUGAAUAUUUACCUCUGUAAAGAAAGGGGAUAUGCUCUUCCUUCCUCUGCUUCUGCUGCUACCACUACUAUCUAUGUUAAGUAGCAGCCCUAAAAGUAGAUACCUGGUGUCCAAGUUACCAGUUUCAAAAAAACAAAGUAGAUACCUGGUGUCAUUUCUACAUUGAUCUUGCAGAUCACCUGAAAAUGGGUUGUGAUGAUGAUUGCUUCUUUCUGGGCUAUCUAGUUUACUGCUUUGAGAAAAUAUUUACCCUAUCUUGGUGGGCUAGCCCGAUAUUGCAUCGUCUGCAAACCGGUGUCUGCAGCCAUGGCGCGUCACUUUCUCUUUACAUGAUCAUAUACAGCAAAAUCUGAGCCCUAAAGAAGGCAAAUAUCUGUUGCCGCCAAUGUGAUACUGAUAGCAAUAGUAUAUCCUCCGUCCAUUUUAUGUCUUGAAACUGUUCAUAAAUUACUAUGCCAAAGUUCCCAUUAUCCUAGAGGCAGUGAUGAUAUCGCUAAUCUGGGCUGAUAUUUGGGGCAUGGAGAAACCCCGACUCGUAUCUUGGGCUAGCUCGGAUCAUUCGAUCAUGCAGCCAUGGCAUUGUCAUUUCCCUUUGCCCCAUUUUACACAAACAGGGAAAUGAUGAAAAUCUAUGGUGUAGUGGCUAGCACUCUGGACUUUGAAUGCGACCUGGGUUCGACUCCCAGUAGGACCUGAGUUCUUAAUAUAAAUGUCACACUGGCUACGGUGGUGUCGUUGUUGAUAAUGCUUUUUUUGAGCAAUUUGAAUUCGGCGUUGAGAUGAUAAGAGCCGUAUCUUGGCGGGGUAACCAGGAAGAUAGCAGCCAUGGCGGUUUUUGGUAAAGUCAGUGCUUGAUUAAAUUGGCAUCUGAGCUUCGUUACGUACAUGGUGCACAUGUAUAUUCUCUGUCUUUUACAUACACUCACAAAAACGUACAUAUCAUGAGAAAAUGUCCAAAAUAAUCCCUUAUGUAGGUACUGAUGAUCUUUCAACCAGAUCUUCUGAGCUAGUAAUUGAGCAUUGAGAGUACGUGACUGUAUCUUGGCGGGGCAAUGACCAGGAUGCAUGUGAUAUUGUUGCAUGCAACUAGAGGUAUUUGCAGCCAUGGUGUCACUGAGCUUUCUUUGCCUGAGCAUAAAUAUACAGAUCUACAACAGCAUACCCAGUGUAAUCCCACAAUGUGGGGUGUAGGGAAAAGAAUGUUUCUAGUCAGACUCGGACCCGCAACAAUGCACUAUACAUUAUGCCCUUCGGUCGCUACGCUGAAUGUCAUAUUGUAAAAAUUAUGGGGUGAGAGAGGCUCAAGCUCUCGACCUCAGGAUUACUGGCAAAGCUAUGAGACCCAUGUGCUAGCCAAGUGCGCCACCACCCCAGCGGUGAACAGUCACCAUUUGAUACGUCUGCCAAGUCGAACCCGGGUCUAUUGCUUGGAAGGCAAUUAUCCUAACUGUUGGACUGCAAACGCCUGGAUCAUAAAUAUAUACAGAUCUGAGCCUCAGAUUCCCUUUAUAUUUUACUUUGGGUGUAUUGAUAUGGAUGAAACUAUUGCAGUGAAUAGAUGAAGCAGAAGGUGCAACGCAAAAUGAUAAACAUCUCAUUAGUUUAAGUCUGAGGCUUCGGGAUUCAGAGAGUUGGGCGAGUUGACAAGUUGUUUGAGUGGUUGCCCCUCUCUUUCAUUCUCAGCAGCCAAUGAUCACUCAAAGUUUCCCAAUUUCAAACCACUCUUUAGCAAAAUAAGUUCAAUGAGGCUGUGAUGAUUUUCAUUCUUUGCUCAUCAGAUGGUUGAGCUUUGCAAAUAUCUUGGCAAGGCAGCUUUUGGGGGGUCUUGUGAGAUAUGCAAGCUAUUUAAGUUUCUGGUCUCACAAAGGCUUCUUUAGCUUGCAGCCAUGGCAGGGUUUAGCUUAUGCGGAGAAAAGGCGAAUCUGAGCCUCUCAAAUUUCUCUUUGUGUUCAAAGGAUGUGGUUUUAUUGAACUCGAGAAAGGUUGAGAUAUUUUAAGGGUGGUUAAUCUCUUUCUCUGAAUUUCAAUUUAGCCAAUGAAUUUUCCUGUACUUCUGUUAUAAAACAGCACUUUAAGAGAAUAUACAUACUUUGGCCCCCUAAACUUUUCCAGAAAACCCGAAAUCCUGAACCCCAAACUUUGUGAAUGAGGCUAUGAUGAUAUUCUCUAGGAAGCUUGUAAGUCAGAUUUUUGAGCUGAUUCAUAUCUUGGUUAGGCAAAGGCAAGAGAAUUUGUGAGGUUGGUUCUUAUGUGCUCUCACACAAAAGGCCUCUGCUUUAUGCAACCACGGUGGAUUAGACUUUUUCUGAUAGAUCAAAUCUGAGCCUCUUUUCUGUGUUAACUUUAGUUCUACAAUGGGUGGUCUGUUUAUUUCGUCCUUUACCUUCUUUUUGUUUUUGAUGAAAUCGUCCUUUACUUCUUUUUAUGAUCAUGUUGUAUAGUAUUGGUUUGAGCGGAGUCUAAAUGGAGUGACAUGAUCAGUGACGAUUUAUAAUGUUGAUCCCAGCUUGUUUGGGACUGAGACGUUAUUGUUAUGUUCUUUUUAUAUUCAUAUUCUUUCUGCUACUUUUGCAUUAAUAGCAGGAAGAAUCCAAGUUUCAAAAGAAAACCAUAUGUGUUUAUCUACCCAUUCUCCUGGAGUGAAAUUAUUAGCUACUGAUAUGAAACAAGACCAAACGGAAUGACUGAAUAUUGAGGAUUCAUAUACCUGUCCUUAACCAGUUUGAUACCAAAGCUAUUUGGCAAAUUUAUCUACAAAAUUUUCCAGACUUUCAUGCCUCAUUUCGAUAUUGAAAUCCCAAGUUUCAGAGGCAGUGAAGAUUAUGCAUAAUGAAAAGGAAAAGUGAAAAUAUUGUUGAUUCAUGCCCUGGCUUGGCAAGACCAAUCGGAAGGUCUUUCUUAUAAGGCAACCAAUGAUUGCAGCCAUGACAUUGCUAACCCUGCUAUUUCCUUUGAUUAAAUAGGCGAAAAUCUGAGCCUCAUCCUCAACUUGGUUUAUUUACUUUUUUUUUUUUUUGACUAGUCUUUCUAGAAACAAUUUAAACUAGAUUUUUUUUGCGUGGUUCUUUGGUCUAUUAUUUUGAAUUCAGACUCUCUUCUGUUCUGUGUGGUUACUGGUUUGCUAAAGAUCGGAGAUAGUUAUGGUGUCUCCGAUUCCCCAAGAUCAUCUGUCUUUGUGCAGAGCCAGAUUCCUACUUUUGUUGGCCUUUUUUUCUUCCUAAUUUCAUUUUCUAAUGUAAUUAUUAUCCCAGUUGAAGCUGUAGUUUCUUGGAGCCCUACUCUUAACGUUCAAGACUAUUUUAACUCUUGGGACUUGAGACUAUGUUGAUACAAGUUUUAAGCUGGUGCGUACAGUCUUCGACGAGUACAUGCAGCAGUUCAAGAGACUCCUGAUAGCCCAACACGUUGAAAUGAAGAAAUCCGGUCCGGUCAGUUCAAGAACUAAACAUAUCCAGCAGCUGAUUGAACUUAGCAUUCUAAGAUUCUUGGAUUUUUUUGUGGUACGGUAUGAGCAUAGCGUUGAUGUCCAGUUGGCUUGAAUUUGUAAACCUUUGCUAACACCGUGAGUUUGCCUUGAAAAUGUAUUUGCGAUUUGUAUAGGGGCAAGCAUCUAGAUUUUAGAUACUUUUCAGCGAUGUUAGUUUCAUUUCUUAUUCCUGUUCAUUUUGUCUUUAUUAGGAAAGUGAAAGACACGAUGAAGAAGAUGUUGGACUUGAAUUCAGUCCGUGAGCUGCUUGGAUGGUUAACAUAUUGUUUCAUAGUGUAUCAUAUUAUAUUGUAUUGUGUCGUUUGAUGAAUAUAA